ACUACGGGGGGCUGCAGUGGGGAAUAUUGCGCGAAUGGGGGAAACCCUGACGCAGCGAUGCCGCGUGGGUGAAUAAGGCCUUCGGGUUGUAAAGCCCUUUCAGUGGGGAAGAUGAUGACGGUACCCACAGAAGAAGCCCCGGCUAACUCCGUGCCAGCAGCCGCGGUAAUACGGAGGGGGCGAGCGUUGUUCGGAAUUAUUGGGCGUAAAGGGCGCGUAGGCGGUUUAUUAAGUCAGGAGUGAAAGCCUCAGGCUCAACCUGGGAACUGCUUUUGAAACUGGUAGACUAGAGUCCGGCAGAGGAUGGUGGAAUUCCCCGUGUAGAGGUGAAAUUCGUAGAUAUGGGGAGGAAGACCAGAGGCGAAGGCGACCAUCUGGACCGGUACUGACGCUGAGGCGCGAAAGCGUGGGGAGCAAACAGGAUUAGAUACCCUGGUAGUC
RNAcentral lists this ribosomal RNA (441 nucleotides) under uncultured bacterium. Its description in RNAcentral is "bacterial SSU rRNA". It matches the Rfam family "Bacterial small subunit ribosomal RNA", at positions 338 to 795 of the family's 1533-position model. The record is from RNAcentral.